ACCCCAUACCAUUGGCCCUGGCGGCGCCUCCGUGCGGUCCGCAACUACGCGGUACCGCCCCCCUGGAAGUCCGGCGAACCCUUAAACUCAAAGAAUUUGCGGGGCCCGCACAACCGGUGAGCGUCUGGUCAAUUCGAUGCUAACCAAAAACCUUACCCGGGCUUGACAUGGUGGAAAACCCUUGCGAAAGCGAGGGGUGCGUCCUCUGGACGGAAUCCCACCACAGGUGGUGCAUGGCCGUCGUCAGCUCGUGUCGUGAGAUGUUGGGUUAAGUCCCGCAACGAGCGCAACCCCUGCCCCUAGUUGCUACCCCGAAUGGGGAGCACUCUAGGGGGACUGCCGGCGAUAAGCCGGAGGAAGGUGGGGAUGACGUCAGGUCAGUAUGCCCCUUAUGCCCGGGGCUACACAGGCGCUACAGUGGCCAGGACAAUGGGAUGCGACCCAGCAAUGGGGAGCAAAUCCCCCAAACCUGGUCAUGGUGCGGAUUGAGGGCUGAAACUCGCCCUCAUGAAGCCGGAAUCGGUAGUAAUGGCGGAUCAGCUAAGCCGCCGUGAAUACGUUCUCGGGCCUUGCACACACCGCCCGUCACGCCACGGAAGUCAGUCUUCCCGGAAGGCCCCAAGCUAACCCGCAAGGGAGGCAGGGGACGAUGGGAAGGCUGGCAACUGGGGCGAAGUCGUAACAAGGUAA
RNAcentral lists this ribosomal RNA (690 nucleotides) under uncultured bacterium. Its description in RNAcentral is "bacterial SSU rRNA". It matches the Rfam family "Bacterial small subunit ribosomal RNA", at positions 875 to 1499 of the family's 1533-position model. The record is from RNAcentral.